ACGGGAGGCAGCAGUGGGGAAUAUUGGGCAAUGGGCGCAAGCCUGACCCAGCAACGCCGCGUGAAGGAUGAAGGUCUUCGGAUUGUAAACUUCUUUAAUCGGGGAAGAAAAAAAUGACCUACCCGAAGAAUAAGCCACGGCUAACUACGUGCCAGCAGCCGCGGUAAUACGUAGGUGGCAAGCGUUAUCCGGAUUUACUGGGUGUAAAGGGCGUGUAGGCGGCUCUGCAAGUCAGAAGUGAAAUUCCCGGGCUCAACCUGGGCGCUGCUUCUGAAACUGCAGAACUUGAGUACUGGAGGGGAAAGCGGAAUUCCUAGUGUAGCGGUAAAAUGCGUAGAUAUUAGGAGGAACACCAGUGGCGAAGGCGGCUUACUGGACUGUAACUGACGUUGAGGCUCGAAAGCGUGGGGAGCAAACAGGAUUAGAUACCCUGGUA
RNAcentral lists this ribosomal RNA (436 nucleotides) under uncultured Saccharofermentans sp. RNAcentral describes it as "partial 16S ribosomal RNA". It matches the Rfam family "Bacterial small subunit ribosomal RNA", at positions 341 to 792 of the family's 1533-position model. The record is from RNAcentral. Lineage: Bacteria; Bacillati; Bacillota; Clostridia; Eubacteriales; Oscillospiraceae.